CUAAAUCCCGACUCUGCCAAUUCAAAAGCGUUCAUCUGCAUCCACCCUAGGAUUAGAACAGAACGGACAGCCUUUCCGCCCUCCCUCAGAGUUGGCAUCCUGUCACUUGCACCGUCGCUAUGGCAUCGAAGGAUCGAUUGAACCACGACGCCGGGGAGGAGUUUUCUGCAGGUUUAAGGCCUGAGAAUUUCCGUUCCCCCAUGAGUUGAAGUAGGUGUCAGAAAAAGAAAUAAAUCCACUCACUGGUGGGUUUCUGGGGAACAAAUCCGGAAGGCCAAUGCAUGAGCAAUUUUGCAUCCAUUUGAUACAAUAUAUCAUGAAUUUUUUUUCUUUCUUUUUCUUUUCUUUUCUUUUCCUUCGUUCUUUCUUUCUUUCUUUUUUUUUUUUUUGCAAACUAGUUAGAGUUCCUUGACUUAUCAGGCAAAAUUAUUAUUCAGUACGCAACAAACUAUUUGCUAACCUUUAGUUGUCGAGAAGUACUGGUUUGUAAAUAGACGUCAUCGCC
Molecule: small RNA, 505 nt
Filed under: Histoplasma capsulatum
Lineage: Eukaryota; Fungi; Ascomycota; Eurotiomycetes; Onygenales; Ajellomycetaceae
Also listed under: 1 other name
Description: hypothetical RNA
Source: RNAcentral